This 498-nucleotide unclassified non-coding RNA is filed under the name Zea mays. RNAcentral's name for it is "misc RNA Zm00001eb292330". The record is from RNAcentral. Lineage: Eukaryota; Viridiplantae; Streptophyta; Magnoliopsida; Poales; Poaceae.
UCCAUUAAUGCUUUUGAUGCUCUAGUGGACAUAAAUCACAAUUUUUUUUGUUAGGCCAUGGUAAUAGAACUAGAAUUCUAAAAACUAUAUGAUAUAUCACAAAAACCGUUGUGUUUUUAACUUCAACUUAAAUUCAUAUCUAGCAAAAUCGAAGUGCUGCUAUCACAUUCAGUCGGCAAGUUUUUCAUGGAAGUAAAAAAGCGUCAUUGGAUGCAAGUCCUGUUCCAGGUUCUAAGAUUUCCAAAAAAAGGUCCAAAAGCGUCCAAUUACCAACACUGGCAAAUGAAAACUCCAAAUUGUUUGUCAUGUGCUGUGAUCCCAACUAUUCUGCAUAAUUAUACGAUGGCAUUUUUAAGGUUCUAUGCAUACUUGCAAGUUCAUUAUGGACACAAAUAUGUUUUGGAAAACAAACAUAGAAAUAUGUGUGUGCACGCACACAUACAAGCUUACAAACAAACGAACAAUAGAAAGUACCAUUUUUUCGUUGCGCAAAUAGGC